This 402-nucleotide ribosomal RNA is filed under the name Salmonella enterica subsp. enterica serovar Javiana. RNAcentral's name for it is "bacterial SSU rRNA". It matches the Rfam family "Bacterial small subunit ribosomal RNA", at positions 49 to 447 of the family's 1533-position model. Lineage: Bacteria; Pseudomonadati; Pseudomonadota; Gammaproteobacteria; Enterobacterales; Enterobacteriaceae. The record is from RNAcentral.
UAACACAUGCAAGUCGAACGGUAACAGGAAGCAGCUUGCUGCUUUGCUGACGAGUGGCGGACGGGUGAGUAAUGUCUGGGGAACUGCCUGAUGGAGGGGGAUAACUACUGGAAACGGUGGCUAAUACCGCAUAACGUCGCAAGACCAAAGAGGGGGACCUUCGGGCCUCUUGCCAUCAGAUGUGCCCAGAUGGGAUUAGCUUGUUGGUGAGGUAACGGCUCACCAAGGCGACGAUCCCUAGCUGGUCUGAGAGGAUGACCAGCCACACUGGAACUGAGACACGGUCCAGACUCCUACGGGAGGCAGCAGUGGGGAAUAUUGCACAAUGGGCGCAAGCCUGAUGCAGCCAUGCCGCGUGUAUGAAGAAGGCCUUCGGGUUGUAAAGUACUUUCAGCGGGGAGG